This 419-nucleotide ribosomal RNA is filed under the name Pedicularis langsdorffii subsp. arctica. Its description in RNAcentral is "partial 18S ribosomal RNA". The stretch from base 110 to 265 matches the Rfam family "5.8S ribosomal RNA". Lineage: Eukaryota; Viridiplantae; Streptophyta; Magnoliopsida; Lamiales; Orobanchaceae. The record is from RNAcentral.
ACGAACCCCGGCGCGGCAUGCGUCAAGGAAAACUCAAAGAAGCGUUGAGCUCCCAUCGCCCCGUUCGCGGUGUGCAGUGUGGGAACUAACGUCUCUAUAAUGUCAUAACGACUCUCGGCAACGGAUAUCUCGGCUCUCGCAUCGAUGAAGAACGUAGCGAAAUGCGAUACUUGGUGUGAAUUGCAGAAUCCCGUGAACCAUCGAGUCUUUGAACGCAAGUUGCGCCCGAAGCCAUUCGGCUGAGGGCACGUCUGCCUGGGCGUCACGCAUCGCGUCGCCUCCCCCACCCACACCCCAUGGGGCGUUUGGGUGCCGGGGGCGGAAAUUGGCCCCCCGUGCAUUUUUUCGCGCGGCCGGCCUAAAUGUGAACCCGUGGCGACUCGCGUCACGACCAGUGGUGGUUGAACACUCAACUCUCG